RNAcentral lists this ribosomal RNA (721 nucleotides) under Candida albicans. RNAcentral describes it as "LSU rRNA". It matches the Rfam family "Eukaryotic large subunit ribosomal RNA", at positions 181 to 921 of the family's 3401-position model. Lineage: Eukaryota; Fungi; Ascomycota; Pichiomycetes; Serinales; Debaryomycetaceae. The record is from RNAcentral.
CUAUGUUCCUUGGAACAGGACGUCACAGAGGGUGAGAAUCCCGUGCGAUGAGAUGACCCGGGUCUGUGUAAAGUUCCUUCGACGAGUCGAGUUGUUUGGGAAUGCAGCUCUAAGUGGGUGGUAAAUUCCAUCUAAAGCUAAAUAUUGGCGAGAGACCGAUAGCGAACAAGUACAGUGAUGGAAAGAUGAAAAGAACUUUGAAAAGAGAGUGAAAAAGUACGUGAAAUUGUUGAAAGGGAAGGGCUUGAGAUCAGACUUGGUAUUUUGCAUGUUGCUCUCUCGGGGGCGGCCGCUGCGGUUUACCGGGCCAGCAUCGGUUUGGAGCGGCAGGAUAAUGGCGGAGGAAUGUGGCACGGCUUCUGCUGUGUGUUAUAGCCUCUGACGAUACUGCCAGCCUAGACCGAGGACUGCGGUUUUUACCUAGGAUGUUGGCAUAAUGAUCUUAAGUCGCCCGUCUUGAAACACGGACCAAGGAGUCUAACGUCUAUGCGAGUGUUUGGGUGUAAAACCCGUACGCGUAAUGAAAGUGAACGAAGGUGGGGGCCCAUUAGGGUGCACCAUCGACCGAUCCUGAUGUGUUCGGAUGGAUUUGAGUAAGAGCAUAGCUGUUGGGACCCGAAAGAUGGUGAACUAUGCCUGAAUAGGGUGAAGCCAGAGGAAACUCUGGUGGAGGCUCGUAGCGGUUCUGACGUGCAAAUCGAUCGUCGAAUUUGGGUAUAGG